This 478-nucleotide ribosomal RNA is filed under the name uncultured bacterium. RNAcentral describes it as "partial 16S ribosomal RNA". It matches the Rfam family "Bacterial small subunit ribosomal RNA", at positions 29 to 523 of the family's 1533-position model. The record is from RNAcentral.
AACAAACGCUGGCGGCGUGCCUAAUACAUGCAAGUCGAACGGGGAAAGCUUUCGGGUGAGUACUAGUGGCGCACGGGUGAGUAACGCGUGGAUAAUCUGCCCUCGAAUGGGGAAUAACUAGUCGAAAGAUUAGCAAUACCGCAUAAGACCACGACUACUGAGGUAGUUGGGGUCAAAGGAGCAAUUCGUUUGAGGAUGAGUCCGCGUAAGAUUAGCUAGUUGGUGAGGUAAUGGCUCACCAAGGCGAUGAUCUUUAACUGGUCUGAGAGGAUGACCAGUCACACUGGAACUGAGACACGGUCCAGACUCCUACGGGAGGCAGCAGUAGGGAAUAUUGGACAAUGGGGGCAACCCUGAUCCAGCGACGCCGCGUGAGCGAUGAAGGCCUUCGGGUCGUAAAGCUCUGUUGUAAGGGAAAAAGUUCUGAUUGUACCUUACGAGAAAGGAUCGGCUAACUUCGUGCCAGCCGCCGCAGUAA